CUAACAAGAAAGAUGUAGUGAGAAAGGUAGCAGUUCCUUAAACUACACUUGGUGUUUGAGGAGGAAGAGGACAGAUAUAUACUUGUAUUAGUUAUUAGUUAAGGAAGAUGACGUGGAACAUGGCUCACCUCACUCUUGCAUUUAACCUUCUUGGUAAUUAUAAUAUCGUCUUGUUCAUGGUAUUUCUUGCACUAAUGUAAGUCUCUGACGUUUUUUUUAAUAUGCUUUUAAUUAACCUCUUCUCCCCAUCUUUAUGUGUUUUUGUAGCACCUUUGGGAGUUCUGCGACAAGUGAUUAAAACAAAAAGCGUAGAGUAUAUGCCAAUUCUAUUAUCAGUAGCCCUCACCCUUAGCGCUGUUAUGUGGUUCUUUAAUUUAUGGCCUUCUUCUUGGUGUCUUAAUAGUUAAUACCAUCUUUUACAGAUUCCAAAUGUACUUGGAUUCACGUUUGGUAUAAUUCAAAUGAUAUUAUAUUAUGUGCAUACAAAAACAAAAGCCCGAUUAUCAGUGAAAAAAUGUGUAAUUGUGAAGAGAAAGUCGCAGAUCAAAAACUCCCAGAAUUUAGAGAUCAGAAAAUCAUUGAUGUUGUAAAGCUGAAAAUUUUGUUGCAUGUUGACAUUCGUCCGGUGUCCCCACCAAAUACUCAUAACACUAAUUUUGUGGAUUCUAAACAUCAAGCUCUCCCUGAUGUGACAAAUUGCACAAUUGAGGUUGGAGCAUGAAACGUACACUUGAAUUUUGAUGAAGAGGAAAACCAAAUUAACUAGGUCGAUCACAUCUUCUUAGAUAAAGUGGUUGACAUGGUAUAUGUGAAAUAUAAAACUUGUAAUGAUAGUUUUAUGAAAGGCAAAAGGAUAUCUUUAUGGAAGGGAAUAAUUUCUCUUUUAGGAAGAAUUGAAAGGAAUGGUAGUCUUUCUUUCUAAUUGGAGUGAUAGCUUUAUGGAAGGAUAAUUUUCUUUUUGAAUAAAGAACUGGAACGUUUUACA
Long non-coding RNA from Lactuca sativa (garden lettuce), 985 nucleotides. RefSeq lists it as uncharacterized. NCBI's taxonomy places the organism in Eukaryota, Viridiplantae, Streptophyta, Magnoliopsida, Asterales, Asteraceae. The record is from RefSeq and is a predicted model, not a curated record.